CACACCGCCCGUCACACCAUGGGAGUUGGCUCUACCCGAAGACGGUGUACUAACCUCGCAAGAGGAGGCAGCCGGCCACGGUCGGGUCAGCGACUGGGGUG
This 101-nucleotide ribosomal RNA is filed under the name uncultured bacterium. RNAcentral describes it as "partial 16S ribosomal RNA". It matches the Rfam family "Bacterial small subunit ribosomal RNA", at positions 1386 to 1482 of the family's 1533-position model. The record is from RNAcentral.